AGGACAGGUGGUGCAUGGUUGUCGUCAGCUCGUGUCGUGAGAUGUGGUUAAGUCCCGCAACGAGCGCAACCCUACUUGCUAGUUACCAUCAUUAAGUUGGGGACUCUAGCGAGACUGCCAGUGAUAAACUGGAGGAAGGUGGGGAUGACGUCAAAUCAUCAUGCCCCUUAUGACCUGGGCUACAAACGUGAUACAAUGGCUGGAACAAAGGGAUGCGAAGCAGUGAUGUGGAGCGAAACCCAUAAAAACAGUCUCAGUUCGGAUUGAAGUCUGCAACUCGACUUCAUGAAGUCGGAAUCGCUAGUAAUCGCGGAUCAGAACGCCGCGGUGAAUACGUUCUCGGGGUUU
This 348-nucleotide ribosomal RNA is filed under the name uncultured Acholeplasma sp. Its description in RNAcentral is "bacterial SSU rRNA". It matches the Rfam family "Bacterial small subunit ribosomal RNA", at positions 1031 to 1382 of the family's 1533-position model. The record is from RNAcentral. Lineage: Bacteria; Bacillati; Mycoplasmatota; Mollicutes; Acholeplasmatales; Acholeplasmataceae.